AUUGAACGCUGGCGGCAGGCCUAACACAUGCAAGUCGAGCGGAUGAAGGGGGCUUGCUCCUGGAUUCAGCGGCGGACGGGUGAGUAAUGCCUAGCAAUCUGCCUGGUAGUGGGGGAUAACGUCCGGAAACGGGCGCUAAUACCGCAUACGUCCUGAGGGAGAAAGUGGGGGAUCUUCGGACCUCACGCUAUCAGAUGAGCCUAGGUCGGAUUAGCUAGUUGGUGGGGUAAAGGCCUACCAAGGCGACGAUCCGUAACUGGUCUGAGAGGAUGAUCAGUCACACUGGAACUGAGACACGGUCCAGACUCCUACGGGAGGCAGCAGUGGGGAAUAUUGGACAAUGGGCGAAAGCCUGAUCCAGCCAUGCCGCGUGUGUGAAGAAGGUCUUCGGAUUGUAAAGCACUUUAAGUUGGGAGGAAGGGCAGUAAGUUAAUACCUUGCUGUUUUGACGUUACCAACAGAAUAAGCACCGGCUAACUUCGUG
This 484-nucleotide ribosomal RNA is filed under the name uncultured bacterium. RNAcentral's name for it is "partial 16S ribosomal RNA". It matches the Rfam family "Bacterial small subunit ribosomal RNA", at positions 30 to 507 of the family's 1533-position model. The record is from RNAcentral.